UACGAAGGGUGCAAGCGUUACUCGGAAUUACUGGGCGUAAAGCGUGCGUAGGUGGUUUGUUAAGUCUGGUGUGAAAGCCCCGGGCUCAACCUGGGAAUGGCAAUGGAUACUGGCAAGCUAGAGUGCGGUAGAGGGUAGUGGAAUUCCCGGUGUAGCGGUGAAAUGCGUAGAGAUCGGGAGGAACACCAGUGGCGAAGGCGGCUACCUGGACCAGCACUGACACUGAGGCACGAAAGCGUGGGGAGCAAACAGG
RNAcentral lists this ribosomal RNA (253 nucleotides) under uncultured bacterium. RNAcentral describes it as "partial 16S ribosomal RNA". It matches the Rfam family "Bacterial small subunit ribosomal RNA", at positions 524 to 776 of the family's 1533-position model. The record is from RNAcentral.